GAUGAACGCUAGCUACAGGCUUAACACAUGCAAGUCGAGGGGAAACGAUAUUGGAAGCUUGCUUCUGAUAGGCGUCGACCGGCGCACGGGUGAGUAACGCGUAUCCAACCUGCCCAUCACUUGGGGAUAACCUUGUGAAAGUAAGACUAAUACCCAAUGACGUCUCUAGAAGACAUCUGAAAGAGAUUAAAGAUUUAUCGGUGAUGGAUGGGGAUGCGUCUGAUUAGCUUGUUGGCGGGGUAACGGCCCACCAAGGCGACGAUCAGUAGGGGUUCUGAGAGGAAGGUCCCCCCACAUUGGAACUGAGACACGGUCCAAACUCCUACGGGAGGCAGCAGUGAGGAAUAUUGGUCAAUGGACGAGAGUCUGAACCAGCCAAGUAGCGUGCAGGAUGACGGCCCUAUGGGUUGUAAACUGCUUUUAUAAGGGAAUAAAGUGAGUCUCGUGAGACUUUUUGCAUGUACCUUAUGUAAUAAGGACCGGCUAAUUCCGUGCCAGCA
This 500-nucleotide ribosomal RNA is filed under the name uncultured bacterium. RNAcentral's name for it is "bacterial SSU rRNA". It matches the Rfam family "Bacterial small subunit ribosomal RNA", at positions 28 to 513 of the family's 1533-position model. The record is from RNAcentral.